Callithrix jacchus (white-tufted-ear marmoset) is the source of this 362-nucleotide long non-coding RNA. RefSeq lists it as uncharacterized. The record is from RefSeq and is a predicted model, not a curated record. NCBI's taxonomy places the organism in Eukaryota, Metazoa, Chordata, Mammalia, Primates, Cebidae.
AGAUCAUAGUCCAAUGCAGCCUUGAACUUGUGGGCUCAAGUGAUCCUCUCACCUCAGCCUCCUAAGCAGCUGGGAUUACAGGCACCAGAUGGCCAUGUAUUAGGUGUUUGGUUUACUUUAUGAAAUUUCAGAGCCGGAGGAACAAACAAAAGAUAGGGAGUAUGGGAUCUGGCCCUGAGGAACUGAAGCCCUACUACCAGGGGAAGUCUCAGCUGACUUCUAAAACAAGGCAGGACAAGACAAGGUGCCAUCAUCAUAGCACUUUCAAAGUCUCUGUCACUUACCUGAGAGUGAGAUUCCUUCUGCAAGCCCAUAAGGCAGAUAAGCAAAAAUGAUCAUCAUGCCAAAUUCCAAAGAAGGCG